GGUAUCCUGGGGUGUGCGUUAGUUUGUGCUUUUACCCACAGAUUCAAAAAAGGAUUCCGGGUCGGUAUGCAGAUGUCAGGCCCCCGAUUUCGCCAGGGGAAGGCAGUAAGCAGUCGCAGGUCUCCGCCCUGCCUGAGAGGCGGGUGAAAAAGCAUAGGCAGACGGCACUUACGGGAUAUUU
This 181-nucleotide non-coding RNA is filed under the name Clostridia bacterium. RNAcentral's name for it is "6S RNA". It matches the Rfam family "6S / SsrS RNA". Rfam says of the family: E. coli 6S RNA was the first non coding RNA to be sequenced, but its function was unknown until recently. It consists of 184 nucleotides that fold into an extended hairpin structure with a large single-stranded internal bulge. Lineage: Bacteria; Bacillati; Bacillota; Clostridia. The record is from RNAcentral.